AUCAUUACAGUGUUGGCUGCCCUCACGGGUAGCAAACCUCACCCUUGUAUAUUAUACCUUACAUUCUGAAAAUGUCGUCUGAGUACUAUCUAAUAGUUAAAACUUUCAACAACGGAUCUCUUGGUUCUGGCAUCGAUGAAGAACGCAGCGAAAUGCGAUAAGUAAUGUGAAUUGCAGAAUUCAGUGAAUCAUCGAAUCUUUGAACGCACAUUGCGCCCGGUGGCAUUCCGCCGGGCAUGCCUGUUCGAGCGUCAUUUAAACCAAUCCAGCCUCGUGCUUGGGUCUUGGGCCUUUCGCCUUCGGGCGGGCCUCAAAAUCAGUGGCGGUGCCGUCUGGCUCUAAGCGUAGUAAUACUCCUCGCUAUAGACGUCCGGUGGUGGCUUGCCAACAACCCCCAAUUUUAUCAGGUUGACC
This 414-nucleotide ribosomal RNA is filed under the name uncultured fungus. Its description in RNAcentral is "eukaryotic LSU rRNA". The stretch from base 101 to 254 matches the Rfam family "5.8S ribosomal RNA". Lineage: Eukaryota; Fungi. The record is from RNAcentral.